RNAcentral lists this ribosomal RNA (250 nucleotides) under uncultured bacterium. RNAcentral describes it as "partial 16S ribosomal RNA". It matches the Rfam family "Bacterial small subunit ribosomal RNA", at positions 524 to 773 of the family's 1533-position model. The record is from RNAcentral.
GACAGAGGGUGCAAACGUUGCUCGGAAUUACUGGGCGUAAAGCGCGUGUAGGCGGAUUUGCAAGUCGGAUGUGAAAUCCCUGGGCUCAACCCAGGAACUGCACUCGAAACUGCAAGUCUUGAGUAUCGGAGAGGAAAGCGGAAUUCCUGGUGUAGAGGUGAAAUUCGUAGAUAUCAGGAGGAACACCGGUGGCGAAGGCGGCUUUCUGGACGAUAACUGACGCUGAGACGCGAAAGCGUGGGGAGCAAAC